AACCCGACCACACGAAGCUGGAAUCGCUAGUAAUCGCGAAUCAGAAUGUCGCGGUGAAUACGUUCCCGGGUCUUGUACACACCGCCCGUCACACCAUGGGAGUCAGCAACGCCCGAAGUCAGUGACCUAACCGAAAGGGAGGAGCUGCCGAAGGCGGGGCCGGUAACUGGGGUGAAGUCGUAACAAGGUAAC
This 192-nucleotide ribosomal RNA is filed under the name uncultured bacterium. RNAcentral's name for it is "partial 16S ribosomal RNA". It matches the Rfam family "Bacterial small subunit ribosomal RNA", at positions 1309 to 1500 of the family's 1533-position model. The record is from RNAcentral.